This 448-nucleotide ribosomal RNA is filed under the name uncultured bacterium. RNAcentral describes it as "SSU rRNA". It matches the Rfam family "Bacterial small subunit ribosomal RNA", at positions 26 to 518 of the family's 1533-position model. The record is from RNAcentral.
AGAGCGAACGCUGGCGGCAGGCUUAACACAUGCAAGUCGAGCGGGCGUAGCAAUACGUCAGCGGCAGACGGGUGAGUAACGCGUGGGAACAUACCUUUUGGUUCGGAACAACCCAGGGAAACUUGGGCUAAUACCGGAUAAGCCCUUACGGGGAAAGAUUUAUCGCCGAAAGAUUGGCCCGCGUCUGAUUAGCUAGUUGGUGAGGUAACGGCUCACCAAGGCGACGAUCAGUAGCUGGUCUGAGAGGAUGAUCAGCCACAUUGGGACUGAGACACGGCCCAAACUCCUACGGGAGGCAGCAGUGGGGAAUAUUGGACAAUGGGCGCAAGCCUGAUCCAGCCAUGCCGCGUGAGUGAUGAAGGCCCUAGGGUUGUAAAGCUCUUUUGUGCGGGAAGAUAAUGACGGUACCGCAAGAAUAACGCCCGGCUAACUUCGUGCCAGCAGCCGC